Saccostrea cuccullata (small rock oyster) is the source of this 1373-nucleotide long non-coding RNA. RefSeq lists it as uncharacterized. The transcript has 4 exons. NCBI's taxonomy places the organism in Eukaryota, Metazoa, Mollusca, Bivalvia, Ostreida, Ostreidae. The record is from RefSeq and is a predicted model, not a curated record.
UUUGUAAAAUAUACAAGCCGUAAACAUUAUUGAAGCAUUGUAGAAGCCCAGGGAUGAUUAAAACAAUUUUAAGUCACCCAUUUCUUUAUGCUCGGGACACCCGAUCAACCAAAGGAAACUUGAACUGUUGAAGGUCACAAACAAUGAACAUGCGAGAUUGCAGACCCACGUUGCUUCGAUCGCCUGAAUUCAUUUCGGGUCACUGUGCAGUGAGAUUGUACAUGAGCAAACAGCCCUACAGUACUUAAUUUACCCAGGAGUAGACUACUUGUAGUUGAAGGUAGACUGAAGGCCAGACUUAGCCAGGAUGAUUGAGCAAAAUCUGCUUGCAGAUGGACUAAUGAGGCAAAAAAAUUGGACUCUCAGGCGGUGAACAGAUGUUCAGCAAGAAAUUCGCACAUCAAAUGCUGUGAAUUACACUGAUAUCCCCCCCCCCAAAAAAAAAAAAAGAACAGAGAGACCAAUCAUUAACAGCUUGAGACUUGGUGCACAUAACCUUGCUACAGAAAAGGGGAUUUGCCUAUAAACACUCCCUAAUGAAAGAUUUUGUAAAUUAUUUGUUACACAGGAGAGAUUUAAGAUGUAUUUCGUUUUUAUUUAGCUACCAAAAAUACAACAAUUAUAAGUUAACUUUUGAAAGGAAGUUGAUGUAUUUUUUUCUUGAAAGGAAAAGUAUCAAAUUUGUCUCAAAUACCUUUGAUAGUCAAUGUACAGAAAUACUAAAAAUAACACUUAUUUAUUAAGAAAUACCAUAUAUUUAGAAAUCUUUGUAAUACAUAUUUAUUGUGUAUUAUUGUGUAAAUUAUUAUUGUGUGAUUUAUGUAUAGCCUCAAAAUCUUGAUGCAGUGUAUUGUAUAAAAUUGUAUGAACAAUUGGUGAUUCUUAUACUAGUAUGUUGCACCCUUGACAAUUAUUGUAAUUGUGUUGGCGCUGAUAAAUAUUUAUAUACAUGUCAUAUAUUAGUUCAUGUACAAAACAUAAUUAUAAAGAUUCUAUAAUAUAACAUAAAGUUUUGGCCUUUAACUCAGCAAAAAUAUACAUGUAUUUCGUUCGCGAACCUUUACUUUUUUUUGUAAUAAUGAAACCAGUAUAUUUUAUAACAGAGGAAAUUCGGAUUGAAUUUUUAAAAGUUUUUUGGAAACAUGGCAAUAAUUUCAGCAAUUAUUUCCAAAAUAAAACAUCAUAUCACAUUUUAGAGAAAAUCUAUUAUCUAACCGCCUGUCCUGUCUCUUAUAUUAUUAGCCUAUAUGAUAAAUUGAAAGCAUAUUUUCUUUUUUCAAUGAUAAUUUUUAAAAUGAGGAAAUUCGAGCUAACCUGGCAAUUCAAUAAAUAUGAAUACCCCUUUAUUUUUUUGUUGUAAAUGAUUCAUUCAA